Molecule: ribosomal RNA, 497 nt
Filed under: uncultured bacterium
Lineage: Bacteria
Description: partial 16S ribosomal RNA
Rfam family: Bacterial small subunit ribosomal RNA
Source: RNAcentral
GAUGAACGCUGGCGGCGUGCCUAAUGCAUGCAAGUCGAGCGAACGGACGAGAAGCUUGCUUCUCUGAUGUUAGCGGCGGACGGGUGAGUAACACGUGGAUAACCUACCUAUAAGACUGGGAUAACUUCGGGAAACCGGAGCUAAUACCGGAUGAUAUUUUGAACCGCAUGGUUCAAAAGUGAAAGACGGUCUUGCUGUCACUUAUAGAUGGAUCCGCGCUGCAUUAGCUAGUUGGUAAGGUAACGGCCUACCAAGGCAACGAUGCAUAGCCGACCUGAGAGGGUGAUCGGCCACACUGGAACUGAGACACGGUCCAGACUCCUACGGGAGGCAGCAGUAGGGAAUCUUCCGCAAUGGGCGAAAGCCUGACGGAGCAACGCCGCGUGAGUGAUGAAGGUCUUCGGAUCGUAAAACUCUGUUAUUAGGGAAGAACAUAUGUGUAAGUAACUGUGCACAUCUUGACGGUACCUAAUCAGAAAGCCACGGCUAACUACGUG